GACGAAGGGGGCUAGCGUUGUUCGGAAUUACUGGGCGUAAAGCGUGCGCAGGCGGCUUCUCAAGUCAGGGGUGAAAGCCCAGAGCUCAACUCUGGAAUUGCCUUUGAGACUGAGUGGCUUGAGUACGGGAGAGGUGAGUGGAAUUCCCAGUGUAGAGGUGAAAAUUCGUAGAUAUUGGGAAGAACACCGGUGGCGAAGGCGGCUCACUGGCCCGUAACUGACGCUCAUGCACGACAGCGUGGGGGAUCAAA
This 251-nucleotide ribosomal RNA is filed under the name uncultured bacterium. RNAcentral describes it as "partial 16S ribosomal RNA". It matches the Rfam family "Bacterial small subunit ribosomal RNA", at positions 524 to 772 of the family's 1533-position model. The record is from RNAcentral.